This 528-nucleotide long non-coding RNA is filed under the name Zonotrichia albicollis (white-throated sparrow). RNAcentral's name for it is "lncRNA (ENSZALG00000017211.1)". Lineage: Eukaryota; Metazoa; Chordata; Aves; Passeriformes; Passerellidae. The record is from RNAcentral.
CAGCGACAGACGAGCGACAGCGCGACACAAAGACUCAGCCAGGGCUCCCGCUGCGCGGGCACCGGGUAGAGGGUGCGGGGAAGGGACAGCGGAUCCAUGGAGGGACACAGGGCGGUGCGGUGCUCCACGGGGCCUCUCCCUCAAACGGUGUACAGGGGUAUACAGCCAAAAAAUCUGAGAAACGCGUGGAAAGAAGCAGAUUCCCUGUUACCCCGCAGCGCGUGAAGGCCUGCCAGCUUCAGGAAAAUUCAGCAGCUGGAAGGGAGAAACAUGGGACAUAAACAGCCCCUGAUAUUUAAACCCCUGCUAGUGAAAUAUCAGGGAUUCACCACUUGCAGAAAUUUGGCACCGUGGAAUGAAGCUAGGCACCAAAGCUCCGACUGUAGAAGGUGGGAAGCUUGUGCUGAUGAAGCCCCCAAGAGGCUGAAGUGGACAAUGCUGUUCUACAACAACGGAGGAGGGGAUGAACAGAUUCUUUCAGGGAUCCAUGGCAGAAGAAUGGUUGCACUAAGUCAGAGUUGCAACUGA